Pipistrellus kuhlii (Kuhl's pipistrelle) is the source of this 2340-nucleotide long non-coding RNA. RefSeq lists it as uncharacterized. The transcript has 3 exons. Lineage: Eukaryota; Metazoa; Chordata; Mammalia; Chiroptera; Vespertilionidae. The record is from RefSeq and is a predicted model, not a curated record.
CAAAAACAAAAGAAAGGAAGAAAUAUAACUCAGUGGUUCUCAUCUGGGGGUGAUUCUACCCACUCCCCUUUCCCCAAGGGACAUUGGGCAAUGUCUGGAGAGUAGUUGUUUUUAAAUCACACCUGGGGCAAGGGGUGCUAUUGGCAUCUGGUGGGUUGAGGCCAGAGGUGCUGCUCAGCCCCUUAAAAUGCUCAGGACAGCCCGACCACAGAGAAUGACCCAGCUCCAAAUGUCUCCAGAGCCCCAGUGUAACUUGAAGGACUGGCUGAGUGGGGAGGACGAGGAGCCCAUUUAUCCAGUGGAAAAGAUUUCAUUGUUUCUUCUCUGAGCUGCUUAGUGUUUGUGACGUGGCCUUUAGGCAAAACACGAAAAUGGAGAAGUUACGUUGGGGCUCUGGGCUUUGGCUUUGGUCUUUCCAUAUGAAGCAUCCUUUUGGAUCACCUCUUAUCCGAACAGGAGAGAGGCAUCAGCCUCUGGCCUUUGGAUACAAAUGAUUGUACAUCCCACACUACCUCCCUUUGGACAAUCACCAUUCAACCUUUUCUCUAAUGGUGACAUGGUGGCCUGUGCUGGCUUUAGGAGGUUCUGGGUACCUGGGUGUGGCAGGGUGGCACUGUUGGUAAGGGGCUCCCUGGUCACUGCUCCCACCCGCCUCGCCUCCCACUAACUUGGCUCUCACCUCCAAGUUUGGCAUCUUGCUGGCGGGAAGCUGUCCUGGGAGGGCUGAGUCCCACCUAGGCUGCCUUCUAGCUGUGCAUGGGCUGCUGUCUGGAUGUGGCACAGAGGUCUCUCUCCUUGCCCAACUUGGGUUUUCCAGGUGAAAUCAGGGGACCUGGCUACUAUAGCGGUGAGAAAAGGGAGUUGGAGCAGGAGUGAUCAAUAAGGGGUGUGUGCUCUGAGCCUUAAGGGAGCACAUGGGUCAGGGACUCUCUGGGUAUGGGCAUUUGUGGGGAAGGCAGAGAAACCCUGACUCUCUCCAUGAGACAACAGCAGCUCCUGGUGGCUGGGCAAGGUGGGCAGUGCCAUCCAUGGAGCACCAGCAUUCAAGGGAUGGCACCACGCCCAGUCUUGGGAUGCACCAAGCUAUUUUAAGGGUGAGUGAUUACUUCUUGGAAGCGGAUAUCUGAGCUGUGAACCUGGCAAUGGCAUCCCUUCUCCACGGUGUCAUCUCGUGAUGGGUCCAUGGAGGACCCUUCUCUCCCCAAGACCUCGAUGUAAAUUUUAGCCAGGAUCCCCCUGAGCACGAAGGAUGAGGGUCCCUGUGAGCAUACACAGAAGACCGAGACUAUAGGUCUGGGAUGCCCAAUGGGGAACGCAGCUUGGAAAGUACAUGCUGACACAGCAGUUGAGAACUAAAACCCCUUUUGAGCAUGUGAUCAAAUCCCUCUAAUAAGAAGAGAAACUGAGAGUCUCAGGCCAUGUGCUGGGAGGGCCGCCAUGGUCGGGCUACGGGUGUGGAGGUGGGGAGAGGCACCAGGAAAACUAUGAAAAUUCUGCAGUGUUUUGCUUUUACUCGCCUAGAAUUAGAGGAAUCCUCUGGCAAAAUGAAACUGAAAUCUUGCUUCUCCACUGAUCGUUUCCUGGUGACUCGCCCUUGACCAUGGGCUCUGAUGCUUUUUCGAGGUCAGCUCUGACAAUGUCUAAUUUAUGUACAGUAAAAUGCAACAACUUUAGGUGUACAAGUUGAUGAGUUUUCACAAAUGUGUACAGUCAUGUGACUCCCUCAGUCACGACAUCAAAUGUUUCCAUCAUCCCAAAAGCUUCCUCGCCUCUGAUUGUCGUUUCCUCCCUCUCCCGGCAGCAACCUGACAACCACCCACUUCCUUUCUAUAUCACUGUGGUUUGGCUUUUUUAUUUUAUUUUAUUUUAUUUUAUUUUUUAAAUAAUUGUGUAUACACAGAAUCUUAUAUGUCUGGCUUUUAAAACUUCAUGUAAUGCAUUUACAACUUAUCCACCUUGUUGUUCAAGUCAGUCCUUUGUUCCUUAUAUAGCUGAGCACUAUUUCCCGGUGUGAAGAUACCACAAUUUGCUUAUGCGUUCACCAGUUAAUGGACAUUUGGGUUGUUUCCAGUUAUCAGAAACCGAAUAAAGCUGUUAUAAAUAUUCAUUUAUAGGAACUGCCAAACUGUUUCCUACGUGGUUGCACUAUUUUGUAUUCCCACCAGUGAUGUAUUAGAGUUCCAGUUGUUCCACAGCCUUGUAAGCAUUUGAUAUUGAUUUCAGAAAGUCUGAGUACCAGUUCAGGCUGGUACACACACCAGGAGAGGAGAAUGCAGUCUGUGGGCACUUCCUCUGUGACCCAGUCCAGCGAAUACCUCUCCUGGGGAUGACAGUGCUGGA